GUAAUGUCUGGGAAACUGCCUGAUGGAGGGGGGAGUAACUACUGGAAACGGUAGCUAAUACCGCAUAACGUCGCAAGACCAAAGAGGGGGACCUUCGGGCCUCUUGCCAUCAGAUGUGCCCAGAUGGGAUUAGCUAGUAGGUGGGGUAACGGCUCACCUAGGCGACGAUCCCUAGCUGGUCUGAGAGGAUGACCAGCCACACUGGAACUGAGACGCGGUCCAGACUCCUACGGGAGGCAGCAUG
RNAcentral lists this ribosomal RNA (244 nucleotides) under uncultured bacterium. RNAcentral describes it as "partial 16S ribosomal RNA". It matches the Rfam family "Bacterial small subunit ribosomal RNA", at positions 110 to 353 of the family's 1533-position model. The record is from RNAcentral.